GAUGAACGCUGGCGGUAUGCUUAACACAUGCAAGUCGAACGGAGUGCUUCGGCACUUAGUGGCGGACGGGUGAGUAACGCGUGAGAAUCUGCCUUCAAGUUCGGGACAACCACUGGAAACGGUGGCUAAUACCGGAUAAACCGAAAGGGGAAAGACUUGUUGCUUGAAGAAGAGCUCGCGUCCGAUUAGCUAGUUGGUGGGGUAAAGGCCUACCAAGGCAGCGAUCGGUAGCUGGUCUGAGAGGACGAUCGGCCACACUGGGACUGAGACACGGCCC
RNAcentral lists this ribosomal RNA (277 nucleotides) under uncultured bacterium. RNAcentral describes it as "partial 16S ribosomal RNA". It matches the Rfam family "Bacterial small subunit ribosomal RNA", at positions 28 to 332 of the family's 1533-position model. The record is from RNAcentral.